Molecule: long non-coding RNA, 833 nt
Organism: Nicotiana attenuata
Lineage: Eukaryota; Viridiplantae; Streptophyta; Magnoliopsida; Solanales; Solanaceae
Exons: 2
Source: RefSeq, a predicted model, not a curated record
CUUACAUCUUAAUCCUAUCUCCGCUGCAUUUCUUAUCUUUGUUCUGCUUCUGUUUAGUACCAAGCUCUUUGUUGUUCUUCUUCUCCAAGUUUUUCCUCGGUGCUCUUAUCUUUAGCCUUCUUAUAAAAUUUCUCGUUUAGCUUUAUUUUGUUUAGUGGUUCCGCUUUCUAUUCUACUUUUUCUUCUUCUGCAAAAAGAUAAGAUCUUUGGGAUUUUGGCUUGCUUAGCAAUCUUCUAACUGAGGUUGGGUUCUGAUUUGGUCUCUGUUUUUAUUAAUUUGUUUAUUUUAGAUUUCUUAUGUGACUUUUAAGUUCUCUUCAUUUAUUUUGAUUCUCUGAGCCACAGAAUUUUUAGAAUAGCCAUAAGCAAAAUCGGGGUAUCUUAUUUGAGAAUUAGUAGCAACGAGAUGAAUAUUGAGAGAUGAUGAAUGGAAAAAGUCGAAAUCCCUUAAACAACAUCGACAUGCGCUAAAUUUUGUGCAUGAUUGAAAAGAAUCAAAUUCAAAAGGGACUAAUAACUUCUGAACAAAAGAACAAACACGUUUGCUCGGCAAAAUCGAAAGCUGAGAUGAAACUUAGGCGGAGUUUAUGGAGAGAAAAUGGAAGAGAUUUGACAUGCUUAUGGGAUUCAUGAGAUGUGAAUAUUUAUCAUAGAGGUUGAACUUUCGUGUUUUUUUUUUAACUAUGUGGGAAAACAGUCAUUAUAUUUUGAUACUAUAUUUCAGCAAGUGUUUAUCAAAUAUCUAUCACUUUGGACUUAUAGAGUAAAAGUUCAAGCUUAACAGCUUGACUUAUCUGAUAUUUGGUUAUUGUGGAAUUUUGUUGCUUCUUUUA